AAAGCCCACGGCUCAACCGUGGAGGGUCAUUGGAAACUGGAAAACUUGAGUGCAGAAGAGGAAAGUGGAAUUCCAUGUGUAGCGGUGAAAUGCGCAGAGAUAUGGAGGAACACCAGUGGCGAAGGCGACUUUCUGGUCUGUAACUGACGCUGAUGUGCGAAAGCGUGGGGAUCAAACAGGAUUAGAUACCCUGGUAGUCCACGCCGUAAACGAUGAGUGCUAAGUGUUAGGGGGUUUCCGCCCCUUAGUGCUGCAGCUAACGCAUUAAGCACUCCGCCUGGGGAGUACGACCGCAAGGUUGAAACUCAGAGGAAUUGACGGGGACCCGCACAAGCGGUGGAGCAUGUGGUUUAAUUCGAAGCAACGCGAAGAACCUUACCAAAUCUUGACAUCCUCUGACCCCUCUAGAGAUAGAGUUUUCCCCUUCGGGGGACAGAGUGACAGGUGGUGCAUGGU
This 456-nucleotide ribosomal RNA is filed under the name Staphylococcus sp. RNAcentral's name for it is "bacterial SSU rRNA". It matches the Rfam family "Bacterial small subunit ribosomal RNA", at positions 597 to 1049 of the family's 1533-position model. Lineage: Bacteria; Bacillati; Bacillota; Bacilli; Caryophanales; Staphylococcaceae. The record is from RNAcentral.